GAUGAAGAACUAGCGAAAUGCGAUAAGUAAUGUGAAUUGCAGAAUUCAGUGAAUCAUCGAAUCUUUGAACGCACCUUGCACCCUUUGGCAUUCUGAAGGGUAUGCUCGUUUGAGUGUCAUUGUACUCUCACACUCCCGAUCUUUGCAUUGGGAGCAGUGGACUUGGGUUUGCUGCUUCACCGUCGCUUACCUCAAAUAGGUUAGUGCAACUCUUGGUUGGACAUAGUACGGCGUGAUAAGUGUUCUUCGCCGGUGCCUCGCAAAGAGGGUGGCCGAUCGGGAUGUUGUGCUCCAAACCGUCUUCGGACAAUCUCUGACGACUUGACCUCAAAUCGAGUAAGACUACCCGCUGAACUUAAGCAUAUCAAUAAGCGGAGGA
RNAcentral lists this unclassified non-coding RNA (379 nucleotides) under soil metagenome. Its description in RNAcentral is "partial contains 5.8S ribosomal RNA, internal transcribed spacer 2, and large subunit ribosomal RNA". The stretch from base 1 to 119 matches the Rfam family "5.8S ribosomal RNA", at positions 35 to 154 of the family's 154-position model. The record is from RNAcentral.